This 536-nucleotide long non-coding RNA is filed under the name Triticum aestivum (bread wheat). RNAcentral describes it as "long non-coding RNA (TAES_LNC007370)". Lineage: Eukaryota; Viridiplantae; Streptophyta; Magnoliopsida; Poales; Poaceae. The record is from RNAcentral.
CGGCGAGUCUGGCCACUUCUCCCGCGAGUGCCCCAACAAGGCCCACUAGGCGGCGCAGCUCGUCAGAUCUGAGUGCCCCGUUUCCUUUCGCUCCUUUACCUACCUCUUGAUUCUGCAGCAAGUCAUACCCUAUACCUAUCAGUACUAGUAUUAGUCGCCGUAGCGUUUCCCCCUGCUGCUCGAUGCGAGCUUGGUUUCAGAAGAAUUGCUGGUGGUGUGUUCGUUAAGAUCCAAGUUAUUUUGUUGUCUCUCUGUGAUGAGGACACAGAUCUAUCUAUGUGUUGGAUGGACUAAGUUAUCGAAGUCAAGUUUGGUGUCUUAAGAUUGAUCUAUGAUCUUGCAUGUCUAUUGUUUAUCUUGCAUAUCUGCCAGGCUUGAAAGUGUUGAUUCUGAUAUUCUAUUCUAGCUUAGUGGUGGAUUAUUUUGGAAUCCUGUUCUCCCAUUUCAAUGUGAUUCCAUUGGCGUUUUGAUAGUGGGUACGAUUCGCAAGUUUGAUGCUUUUCAACAGUUUCAUGGUUCAAAAUCUUUCUUAAAUA